CUGGACUGUGACCAGUGUGUUUAAAAUUUGAUCUAUGCCCUGGUGUGCAAUGGUUGCAAACAGCAGCCUCCUUGGUAGUGUACGCAGCCUGUUACCUGUGUGGGUUGCCCUAAGGGACGUAGGAGACAAUU
Microtus ochrogaster (prairie vole) is the source of this 131-nucleotide small nucleolar RNA. Its record names the gene SNORA70. It matches the Rfam family "Small nucleolar RNA SNORA70". From Rfam's summary of the family: snoRNA U70 seems to be exclusive to mammals and is a member of the H/ACA class of snoRNA which contain H (ANANNA) and ACA box motifs. H/ACA box snoRNAs are involved in the conversion of uridines to pseudouridines (5-ribosyluracil) a constituent of structural RNAs (transfer, ribosomal, small nuclear, and small nucleolar). The record is from Ensembl. Lineage: Eukaryota; Metazoa; Chordata; Mammalia; Rodentia; Cricetidae.